RNAcentral lists this ribosomal RNA (253 nucleotides) under uncultured bacterium. RNAcentral describes it as "partial 16S ribosomal RNA". It matches the Rfam family "Bacterial small subunit ribosomal RNA", at positions 524 to 776 of the family's 1533-position model. The record is from RNAcentral.
UACGUAGGUGGCAAGCGUUGUCCGGAAUUAUUGGGCGUAAAGCGCGCGCAGGCAGUCCUUUAAGUCUGAUGUGAAAGCCCACGGCUCAACCGUGGAGGGUCAUUGGAAACUGGGGGACUUGAGUGCAGAAGAGGAAAGCGGAAUUCCACGUGUAGCGGUGAAAUGCGUAGAGAUGUGGAGGAACACCAGUGGCGAAGGCGGCUUUCUGGUCUGUAACUGACGCUGAGGCGCGAAAGCGUGGGGAGCAAACAGG